Molecule: long non-coding RNA, 1472 nt
Organism: Monomorium pharaonis (pharaoh ant)
Lineage: Eukaryota; Metazoa; Arthropoda; Insecta; Hymenoptera; Formicidae
Exons: 5
Source: RefSeq, a predicted model, not a curated record
UUAGAUUUAUGAAGUAACUGUAACUAUUAUAUGUAAUUAUCUUGUACCUUCUCGUGCUUUCCUUGCAUCUUUACUGUUUACAAUAAUAUUAUAUUGUUGAUUAUUUUCAUCUAUAAGACACAAUUCUUCUAAGGGCGUCGCCAUCUUUCUACUGCCGAUGCCUUAUCUCGCCGACGACAGUAACGGCUACGUUCCAAAAUUGAUUGCCAGCGCUGCGAGCGCUAAACAUUGCGUUCCAAAAAUCAUAGCAGCGCGCUGUAACAGCACUGUGACUGAAGGAUGACGUCAUCAAUUUUAACGUCACUUCCUGCUGUAGCUGCUCAGGCUAAAAAGGUGAAGCAGCUACAGCUUAAAAAUGGCGAAGAUCAUAGGCGAAUCUUUAACCUUAAUAGACGCUGAAGAGAAUAAAGAAUAUACAAUAAUUGUUUCUGAAGAAGACGCGACAAGAGCAAGGAAUGAUAAAUAUAUAGUUUUCGUAACGUAUAUUAUAGAAAUAUUUUAUUAAUAAAGUUAACUUAACCUAAUCUACUACCGACACUUUAUAAAAAUGCUCUUCGUGUUGUUAUCUUAUUUGAAAAUUUGUUUCUAGAUCACAUAUUUGCCUACUCAUUACUGAGUCAAGCAAAAAAAGAAAGUGCAGAGCAGCAAGUUAUGACAAUUAAAACUGGUGCGGUUGCUACUUGCCAGGAGAAUAGUGAUGUAUCAGAUGAUGCAGCUUAAAAUAAUAACGAUGCAGUUGCUACUUGUAGCCAGGCGAUUAGUGAUGUACCUUCAGAGAUGCAGCUUCAGAUAAUAAAGAACAACACAUAUGGAGUCGCGCAAAAACAUUACUGCUGUUAAAUUUAUAUAAAAAGCACAAUGAAUGCCACAAUCCGAAAAUAUCAUCCAAGAAAUUGUGGGAUAUAAUUUCCCAAAAAAUGGCUGUUCAAGGUUAUAUGAUAUCAGCAAUAAAAUGUGCGACGAAAUUCCAAUAUAUGAAAAGAACGUACAAGUCAAUCAGUGAUCAUAAUAAAAAAUCUGGAAACAAUCGAAAAAAAUGGGAAUAUUAUGAGCGUCGAUCGUAACAGCUGAUACCGGGUACAGCGCCGCCAACCGCACAAUCUUGUGCUCCACCGCGCCGUCGGCCAGGCUGGCCACCGCAUGUCACAGGCGGUCACAGCGCCGCUAGCACUGGGCCUUAAAGCCACAGCGUAUCACCGCACCACCGCACCGUAGUAGCCAGUACCAGCGCCGCGUCUGUCGCACCGCCGCCAAUCUCCAAACCGACCGACCGGCACGCGCGCCGCCGCAGCCAAUCGGGGCACCGCACCGACACCGAUCACGCGCAAGUGCACACCGCGACAUUGUCGCUAGCACGUACGAGAAUAUCUUGCACGGCGAGAUUGUACUGGAUAUACUGUAUACGUAUUAGCAUAGGGUCUUGUAUUAUAUUAGCAUAGGAGUUAUCGUUUUACAAUAAACUAUACCGAAUA